Callorhinus ursinus (northern fur seal) is the source of this 93-nucleotide non-coding RNA. The record is from RefSeq and is a predicted model, not a curated record. Lineage: Eukaryota; Metazoa; Chordata; Mammalia; Carnivora; Otariidae.
GGUGUCAAAUUUAAAAAAAAACAUGGCCAAGAUCAAUGUCGAGACACUUACGACCUAUGUUUUCCUCUGGGUGUUUUAGAAUAGGGUGAGAUC